AAGGAGUAAUGCUGAAAAUCCUUAUAAAAGAGUAAGCA
Molecule: non-coding RNA, 38 nt
Organism: Niastella koreensis GR20-10
Lineage: Bacteria; Pseudomonadati; Bacteroidota; Chitinophagia; Chitinophagales; Chitinophagaceae
Source: Rfam